UGAAGGAAGAAGAAAUUGAUGUUGAUGAACUUAAGCUUGAAAUAUUCUGCAAGGCUCUUCAAAGGGAUCGGUGGUCUAGUUCAGAUGGCCAAGAUGAUCCAGUUGAAGCUGCAAAAGACAGUUUGUUUGUGAAACUGUUACAGAAACUGUUAAAGGAAGAUAUUUUGCUGAAAGAAUUCUUGCCACAUGUAAAUGACUUACUACAGUGCAACAAACUUGAAGGCCUGAACUCUGACCCAUACUUUGAAUUUGUGUUAAGAGCAAACUAUGAGCAUUAUGUUCAAGGGCAAGCGUGACAAUUAUCAGAUUUGUUAAUCCUAAGACAUGAUGGCUGUUUAUCAUUUGUCAUGGGAUGGGGUAUAUAUUGCUGCAUUUUUGUUAAUGUAUGUUGUAAAUGUCAUUUAUGUAAAAUUAAAUAGUUUGUAUUCAUUAGGGCAGCACGAGUUCAGCUUGUGAAAUUUACAUUUUUUUGUUUUAACAAAUUUCUGAGCCUCUCACUGCGUUGUGUUUACCAUUAUUAUUGACUUUUCAGUGACUGUUUAAAGGGAUGAAGAGGUGCAUCAUGUUAGCUUUCUCCACUAUCUUGCUACUAUUCAAUAUCCCUGUGCUGCAGUUCCAUGUAUUGCAGUAACCUGUUAGGCAGACACUGAGCAGUAAUGGAAGUAGUUUUAUUCCCAUCUGUCUUUUGUAGUAGGAUGAUCUGAGGUUCACCUCCCCGGAAGUGUACAGAAUUGUUCUAGCUGAAAAAGAGUUGCAAGUUCUGAACAUUUGCUCAUUUGAGUGCCAGAUUUAGUUCUGAAAUUGAAACCUCGUUUUCAUAAACCAUGGUGAUAUGAGUUGAGAUCUGAGAUGCAGUGUCAUUUCUGCAUGUAUUUUUUAUUUCAAGGUUGGAUCUGCCUUUUAUAUUACUUCUGACAGAUUUAUAUAGCUGGUGUACAGUUUUUAGUAUCUGAGACAAUGAAGCAAAUACUUUAAACUUUGACUUGUCAUGUAGUUAUAAAGAACAUUUUUUGUACAGAUAAUUAAAUGUGAAAAUUUGAAGUGUUUGCUCAAUAAACAUACUGUUGUUUACUGUUUUCAUACC
Long non-coding RNA from Protopterus annectens (West African lungfish), 1084 nucleotides. RefSeq lists it as uncharacterized. The transcript has 3 exons. NCBI's taxonomy places the organism in Eukaryota, Metazoa, Chordata, Ceratodontiformes, Protopteridae. The record is from RefSeq and is a predicted model, not a curated record.